This is a non-coding RNA of Anas platyrhynchos (mallard), 526 nucleotides long. The record is from RefSeq and is a predicted model, not a curated record. Lineage: Eukaryota; Metazoa; Chordata; Aves; Anseriformes; Anatidae.
CUCUAGCGUGCCUUUGACGAGCCACGUCAAGCAGCCGUGCUGGGCAGGGAGCCCCAGGGUGGGCAGCGGGGUCCCUGCUGGCCCCGGUGUAGCUGGCUGUCAGAAGUCUUAGGAAAUGCAGAUGGAUGACAUCAUUCCAGUGCUGUGGAGCCAGGACAUGAGAGCAGCAUCAGCUGCGAGCAUCUGGGAUGAGAUUUGGUCGCAUCUCCUCAUGGGGACGGGGAGAUUUUGCUGCUACCAGCACGGGGCCUGGCUGUGUACCCAUGGGCAGCGAGGUGACAUGUCUGUACCCCUGGGGACACAGGACUGAUGAAUUCUGCUGCACGAUGCUGCGGGAAAUGGUCACACAAUGAUGAGGGUUUGGUUAAAGGUUGGGUUCUGGGUGGCCUCGGUGCCUGGCAGCCUGAAGUGGCACUGGGGCCACAUCCAGAGGCUGUCAUUAACCAGCGCUGAUGUUUCCUUUCUGCUUAAACCUGUGAUUUUGUUCUGCUUUCUGAGCUGAAUAGAGCGAGAUAAAGCCCUCUGA